This 209-nucleotide unclassified non-coding RNA is filed under the name Glomeraceae sp. RNAcentral describes it as "partial contains 5.8S ribosomal RNA and internal transcribed spacer 2". The stretch from base 1 to 71 matches the Rfam family "5.8S ribosomal RNA", at positions 84 to 154 of the family's 154-position model. The record is from RNAcentral. Lineage: Eukaryota; Fungi; Glomeromycota; Glomeromycetes; Glomerales; Glomeraceae.
GUGAAUCAUCAAAUCUUUGAACGCAAAUUGCACUCCCUGGUAUUCCGGGGAGUAUGCCUGCUGGAGGGUCGUUAGAACAAAAAUCGAAGCGUCGCACUUUUUUUUAAGGGUGAACGCGUCGGAAUUGAGCCGUCUUUCAAAUGUUAAUGCAUGUCAAAGUGGAUUAAAAUUCAUACAUCCGGUAUGAUAAAAACGUAUUUAAGAUCAAU